RNAcentral lists this transfer RNA (71 nucleotides) under Trichophilopterus babakotophilus. Its description in RNAcentral is "tRNA-Arg". Lineage: Eukaryota; Metazoa; Arthropoda; Insecta; Psocodea; Philopteridae. The record is from RNAcentral.
AAAUAUUUAGCAUAAAAAUUAGAAAUGUGUUUAAUUUCGAAUUAAGAGAUACUUUGAAAAAGUAAUAUUUA